This 253-nucleotide ribosomal RNA is filed under the name uncultured bacterium. RNAcentral's name for it is "partial 16S ribosomal RNA". It matches the Rfam family "Bacterial small subunit ribosomal RNA", at positions 524 to 776 of the family's 1533-position model. The record is from RNAcentral.
UACGUAGGGCGCAAGCGUUGUCCGGAAUUAUUGGGCGUAAAGAGCUCGUAGGCGGCUUGUCACGUCGGGUGUGAAAGCCCGGGGCUUAACCCCGGGUCUGCAUUCGAUACGGGCUAGCUAGAGUGUGGUAGGGGAGAUCGGAAUUCCUGGUGUAGCGGUGAAAUGCGCAGAUAUCAGGAGGAACACCGGUGGCGAAGGCGGAUCUCUGGGCCUUACCUGACGCUCAGGCGCGAAAGCUAGGGGAGCGAACAGG